CCUACGGGCGGCAGCAGUGGGGAAUAUUGCACAAUGGGGGAAACCCUGAUGCAGCGACGCCGCGUGAGUGAAGAAGUAUUUCGGUAUGUAAAGCUCUAUCAGCAGGAACGAGACAAGACGGUACCUGACUAAGAAGCCCCGGCUAACUACGCGCCAGCAGCCUCGGCAAUACGCAGGGGGCAAGCGUUAUCCGGAAUCACUGGGGGGAAAGGGAGCGUAGACGGCUGAGCAAGCCUGAAGUGAAAGGCGGGGGCCCAACCCCCGGACUGCUUUGGGAACUGUACGGCUGGAGUACAGGAGAGGUGAGUAGAAUUCCUGGUGUAGCGGUGAAAUGCGUAGAUAUUAGGAGGAACACCAGUGGCGAAGGCGGCUUACUGGACUGUAACUGACGUUGAGGCUCGAAAGCGUGGGGAGCAAACAGGAUUAGAUACCCUAGUAGUC
RNAcentral lists this ribosomal RNA (441 nucleotides) under uncultured bacterium. Its description in RNAcentral is "partial 16S ribosomal RNA". It matches the Rfam family "Bacterial small subunit ribosomal RNA", at positions 338 to 795 of the family's 1533-position model. The record is from RNAcentral.